GGAAGCUCAAACAGGUUUGAUUUAUGCAUUCAUGCUCCUACAGGUGUGUUUAUAAUGUUGUAAAACUAUCUCUUUCAAUUUGAAGACUUAAAGGCAACGAGGAUGAAAUGAUGUCCACAAUGGACUUGAAACAAAAUUAUGUGAGAAACAGAGAGUCGCUGGUCAAAGUGGGUGUUUGUAAGUCUCAAAAAUAGCAACAACAAGGAAACAAUCACAAUCUGAAAGCUAUCAUUUCAACUAUGUUUCCUGGCUUCAUAGGCGGCAAAGUCUAAAGGCUGAACAUCCAAACAUGAGUGAGCUGAGGAUUGUCUUGCUGGGGAAAGAUGCACUGGCAAACAACAGAGUUAGAAACAGGAUCCUGGGAAUAUACAAGAGUGAAGCACCUUCAGCAGAUGUAGAGCAGCGCACAGAGAGAGUUAGAGGACAACCGGUGGACAGACCCAUCACCAUCAUCAAUGAUCCUAAUCUUCUACAGCCAGACCUCUACCACAAUCAGAUUGCUAAGAGAGUGAAAGAGUGUGUGUAUCUUUCUGAUCCAGGACCUCAUGCGAUCAUACUCGUACUACAGCAUAAUGACUUUAGUGAGCAUGACAUGCGAAGAGUAAAUUAUGUACUGAAACAGUUCAGUGACAAGGCAAUUAAACACGCAAUAGUGUUAACUACUGAUAAAGAGACACUGACCUCCUCGCUGGCUUCUGUGCUAAAGAAUAAUGCUAUGCUUCAGUUAAU
Long non-coding RNA from Cyprinus carpio (common carp), 729 nucleotides. RefSeq lists it as uncharacterized. NCBI's taxonomy places the organism in Eukaryota, Metazoa, Chordata, Actinopteri, Cypriniformes, Cyprinidae. The record is from RefSeq and is a predicted model, not a curated record. The transcript is spliced from 4 exons.